UACGUAGGGGACCAGCGUUGUCCGGAUUUACUGGGCGUAAAGAGCGCGCAGGCGGUCGUUCAAGUCGAGUGUGAAAGCCCCCGGCUCAACUGGGGAGGGUCACUCGAUACUGAUCGACUCGAAGGCAGGAGAGGGAAGCGGAAUUCCCGGUGUAGUGGUGAAAUGCGUAGAUAUCGGGAGGAACACCAGUGGCGAAGGCGGCUUCCUGGCCUGUUCUUGACGCUGAGGCGCGAAAGCUAGGGGAGCAAACGGG
This 253-nucleotide ribosomal RNA is filed under the name uncultured bacterium. Its description in RNAcentral is "partial 16S ribosomal RNA". It matches the Rfam family "Bacterial small subunit ribosomal RNA", at positions 524 to 776 of the family's 1533-position model. The record is from RNAcentral.